RNAcentral lists this ribosomal RNA (114 nucleotides) under Salmonella enterica subsp. enterica. The record is from RNAcentral. Lineage: Bacteria; Pseudomonadati; Pseudomonadota; Gammaproteobacteria; Enterobacterales; Enterobacteriaceae.
CCGGGCGGCCGUAGCGCGGUGGUCCCACCUGACCCCAUGCCGAACUCAGAAGCGAAACCGCAGCGCCGAUGGUGCAGUGUGGGGUUUCCCAUGCGAGAGAGGGAACUGCCGUGC